Molecule: ribosomal RNA, 939 nt
Filed under: Triticum aestivum (bread wheat)
Lineage: Eukaryota; Viridiplantae; Streptophyta; Magnoliopsida; Poales; Poaceae
Description: partial small subunit ribosomal RNA
Source: RNAcentral
AUGGACAUCUGUGAGGAUCCGCUCCGCGGCAUCUACCUCUACGGCUUCCAGAAGCCCUCCGCCGUCCAGCUGCGCGCCGUCAUCCCCAUCAUCAGUGGCCGCGUCGUCAACACCCAGGCCAAGUCGGGGACCGGCAAGACCUCCAUCACCCCCCUCCCCGUCUGCCAGGUCGUCGUGAGCAACGUCCACGGGCUUGCGUGCUGUGUGCCGGCCAUCGAGCCAGUGGCUAUCUAUGAUGCUCAUCACCACAUUAUGAUGCCCAGAUACGGUACCAGUUCUAAAGGUACCAACACCUGGGACGGGUUCGAGAUACGGGUGCAUAAGAGGGUGAUCAACCUCGUCAGCUCCCUGUCAGGCAGAUUGCCAUUGAGAGGACAUGUCCAGACUAUGCUGAUGGCAAGGACUGGCAAGUCUGAUGCCAUGACUGCAUUUGUUUUGCAGGAAACCUCCGCAAAGAACAAACUGAACCUGUCCAAGCAAGUUUCUUUUGCUGUACCCGCCAUCUCUGUUUGUGAAUUCAUGGAUCACCAUGAACCAAGUUCCAAGCUGAGGUACCAACACAUGGGAUGGGUUCGAGAUAUGGGUGCACAAGAGGGUGAUCGACCUCGUCAGUUCCCCGUCAGGCAGAUCACCCUCAAGAGGACUGCAUUUGUUUUGCAGGAAACCUCCGCAAAGAACAAACUGAACCUGUCCAAGGUGAAGUUCCAUCAGAUAACAAGGUCGAGGAGCUUCGUGGUGCAGUGCUGUACUGUGAAGGAGAAGUGUGAAGAGGGAGAAUCUGCUGCAGUUAACUACUUCAAGGAAUGCCAUCGUGCCAUGGUUUGGCUGCACCUUAACAGCGGCGGUGGUGGCCACCUCUUCUACGACUCCGGCACAGGCCGUGUUGCAUUCAUUGGAGAGAAACCUGACUUGGCAGUUUCUUUGCAUAUUACAGGGUAA